This 397-nucleotide ribosomal RNA is filed under the name uncultured bacterium. RNAcentral describes it as "partial 16S ribosomal RNA". It matches the Rfam family "Bacterial small subunit ribosomal RNA", at positions 523 to 918 of the family's 1533-position model. The record is from RNAcentral.
AUACGUAGGGGGCGAGCGUUGUCCGGAAUUACUGGGCGUAAAGGGUGCGUAGGUGGCACUUUAAGUUGGAUGUGAAAUCCCCGUGCUUAACAUGGGAGCUGCAUCCAAUACUGGAGAGCUAGAGUGCAGGAGAGGUAAGCGGAAUUCCUAGUGUAGCGGUGAAAUGCGUAGAUAUUAGGAGGAACACCAGUGGCGAAGGCGGCUUACUGGACUGUAACUGACACUGAGGCACGAAAGCGUGGGGAGCAAACAGGAUUAGAUACCCUGGUAGUCCGCGCUGUAAACGAUGAAUACUAGGUGUAGGGGGUAUCAACUCCCUCUGUGCCGCAGCAAACGCAAUAAGUAUUCCGCCUGGGGAGUACGGCCGCAAGGUUGAAACUCAAAUGAAUUGACGGGG